GACGAACGCUGGCGGCGUGCCUAAUACAUGCAAGUAGAACGCACAGUUUAUACCGUAGCUUGCUACACCAUAAACUGUGAGUUGCGAACGGGUGAGUAACGCGUAGGUAACCUGCCUGGUAGCGGGGGAUAACUAUUGGAAACGAUAGCUAAUACCGCAUAAUAUUGAUUAUUGCAUGAUAAUUGAUUGAAAGAUGCUAUUGCAUCACUACCAGAUGGAGCUGCGUUGUAUUAGCUAGUAGGUGAGGUAACGGCUCACCUAGGCGACGAUACAUAGCCGACCUGAGAGGGUGAUCGGCCACACUGGGACUGAGACACGGCCCAGACUCCUACGGGAGGCAGCAGUAGGGAAUCUUCGGCAAUGGACGAAAGUCUGACCGAGCAACGCCGCGUGAGUGAAGAAGGGUUUCGGAUCGUAAAGCUCUGUUGUAAGAGAAGAACGGGUGUGAGAGUGGAAAGUUCACACUGUGACGGUAUCUUACCAGAAAGGGACGGCUAACUACGUG
This 505-nucleotide ribosomal RNA is filed under the name uncultured bacterium. Its description in RNAcentral is "partial 16S ribosomal RNA". It matches the Rfam family "Bacterial small subunit ribosomal RNA", at positions 28 to 507 of the family's 1533-position model. The record is from RNAcentral.